CAGCCGCCGCGGGAAAACGGAGGGUGCAAGCGUUAAUCGGAAUUACUGGGCGUAAAGCGCACGCAGGCGGUCUGACAAGUCAGACGUGGAAUCCCCGGGCUUAACCUGGGAACUGCAUUUGAAACUGUCAGGCUGGAGUCUUGUAGAGGGGGGUGGAAUUCCAGGUGUAGCGGUGAAAUGCGUAGAGAUCUGGAGGAAUACCGGUGGCGAAGGCGGCCCCCUGGACAAAGACUGACGCUCAGGUGCGAAAGCGUGGGGAGCAAACAGGAUUAGAGACCCCUGUAGUCCCUGUCUCUUAUAC
This 301-nucleotide ribosomal RNA is filed under the name uncultured bacterium. RNAcentral's name for it is "partial 16S ribosomal RNA". It matches the Rfam family "Bacterial small subunit ribosomal RNA", at positions 509 to 807 of the family's 1533-position model. The record is from RNAcentral.